Molecule: ribosomal RNA, 466 nt
Filed under: uncultured bacterium
Lineage: Bacteria
Description: bacterial SSU rRNA
Rfam family: Bacterial small subunit ribosomal RNA
Source: RNAcentral
CCUACGGGUGGCUGCAGUGGGGAAUCUUGCGCAAUGGGAGCAAUCCUGACGCAGCAACGCCGCGUGGGUGAUGAAGGUCUUCGGAUCGUAAAGCCCUGUCGGAGGGGAAGAUGCUUGUCGCAGCUAAAAGUGGCGGCAGGUGACGGUACCCUCAAAGGAAGCACCGGCUAACUCUGUGCCAGCAGCCGCGGUAAUACAGAGGGUGCAAGCGUUGUUCGGAAUUAUUGGGCGUAAAGGGAGUGUAGGCGGUUUGUUAAGUCUUCUGUGAAAUCUACGGGCUUAGCCUGUAACGUGCAGAGGAAACUGGCAGGCUUGAGUGUCGGAGAGGAUAGGGGAAUACCCGGUGUAGAGGUGAAAUUCGUAGAGAUCGGGUGGAACACCAGUGGCGAAGGCGCCUAUCUGGCUGACAACUGACGCUGAGACUCGAAAGCAUGGGGAGCAAACAGGAUUAGAUACCCUAGUAGUC